GAACAAUCUUCAGAGUGAAAGCCUCUGUGACGGAGGAAGGAUUGAGCGGUUUGAAGAAAAAUUUUAAAAGUUCCAGACUGAUCACAGUUUGAGAAAUUUCUGAAUUUCGCUCAUUCUGGCGGCACCCAUUCACUGCAGAGGAUCCACUGGAGAGCAAGUGAUGUAAUGCUAAAUUUCUCCAAAUCUGCUCCAAUGAAAAAAAAACUCAUCUACAUCUUGGAUGACCUAAGGACAUUAAGGUCAUCUGUGCGCAACUCCCUAGAAGUCAUAAGAGAAAAGACACUUCAAGCAAUCCUGUGAUGAAAAGCCUCAUGCAGUCUGUGCAGCAAAUUCCUCAGUGAUGUCCAAAAGCUGAUUCAUUCUUCAAGACUUUGGACUACAGAUGACCAUCUUUUGCUCAGUUAGAAUACUUGAAAGCAUAUGGAUGUUGACGAGAGGAAUUUCAGGAGAAACAUUUAAGUCAGUUUUAAUAAUGUUUGAACAACAAAAUGUUCACCUGGAACAAGGAGCAUCUACACUGUAUGAGAGGAGAUCUGAAGAUUUUCUGCCCACAUGAGUUUGUGGAUGAGCUAAUCAAGCUGAUGACCCACAAAGUGAGUUCACAGGACUGAAUCUGUGAUAUCAAAGAACUUUAAUGAUAGAACAAUUGCUGGUUUCCUGUGACUCAGCUCAUGCAAGCUGGUAGGUAGCUCACACAAGGCGACUUAAGGCUAAUCCACUAUAAGCCACAGCAAAGUGUUUGAUGGUUCAAAGUGACUACAGGCUGAUCCUCUUUAGCUACUCACACUGGGAUGAGAAAGGCACACUUGUCUUAAGAGAUUUUCUAUUUCAUCAAUUAAAAGACUCCUACAUGGAGUUUAAUUGCAUUAAAUUGCAAAACUGCUAAUACAUUGUCAACAGAUAUUUCUAAAAAAAAAAAAAAAAAAAAAAACUAUAUUGUACUAAUAUAUCUAAUUAUACAGUAAAUGUUGUUUUGAUGAUACUGAAUACAUUGUCUAACCAUUCUUCAGCUAGACCCAGAUGCACGUUUUUGGGCCUAAAGUGAGUAUUAAAUCCUUAUCAGAUCCCAGUUAUCUACACAUUAAGCAAUAAUUCACACCUGUAUGCUGGCAUACCUCACAGUUCACUGAGCAUCGUCUUACAUUCCAGAAUUCAUAUGCAGUUUAUGUAAUCGACAUUUUUUAGCUGUAAGGGAUGUAAGCUGCAUGAUCUACUGUAUGAACAAAAAGUGGCAUAUACAUACACUACCAUAUAAAAG
Cyprinus carpio (common carp) is the source of this 1258-nucleotide long non-coding RNA. RefSeq lists it as uncharacterized. The transcript is spliced from 4 exons. The record is from RefSeq and is a predicted model, not a curated record. NCBI's taxonomy places the organism in Eukaryota, Metazoa, Chordata, Actinopteri, Cypriniformes, Cyprinidae.